GACGAACGCUGGCGGCGUGCUUAACACAUGCAAGUCGAACGGUAGGGCCCUUCGGGGUACACGAGUGGCGAACGGGUGAGUAACACGUGGGUGAUCUGCCCUGCACUUCGGGAUAAGCCUGGGAAACUGGGUCUAAUACCGGAUAGGACCAUUGCCUGCAUGGGUGGUGGUGGAAAGCUUUUGCGGUGUGGGAUGGGCCCGCGGCCUAUCAGCUUGUUGGUGGGGUGAUGGCCUACCAAGGCGACGACGGGUAGCCGGCCUGAGAGGGUGACCGGCCACACUGGGACUGAGAUACUGCCCAGACUCCUACGGGAGGCAGCAGUGGGGAAUAUUGCACAAUGUGCGCAAGCCUGAUGCAGCGACGCCGCGUGAGGGAUGACGGCCUUCGGGUUGUAAACCUCUUUCAGCACCGACGAAGCGCAAGUGACGGUAGGUGCAGAAGAAGGACCGGCCAACUACGUGCCAGCAGCCGCGGUAA
Molecule: ribosomal RNA, 478 nt
Filed under: uncultured bacterium
Lineage: Bacteria
Description: partial 16S ribosomal RNA
Rfam family: Bacterial small subunit ribosomal RNA
Source: RNAcentral